CGGGGGGAGCAAGCGUUGUUCGGAUUUACUGGGCGUAAAGGGCGCGUAGGCGGCCACCGCAAGUCGACUGUGAAAUCUCUGGGCUUAACCCAGAACGGUCAGCCGAUACUGCGGGGCUAGAGUGCAGAAGGGGCAACUGGAAUUCUCGGUGUAGCGGUGAAAUGCGUAGAUAUCGAGAGGAACACCUGCGGCGAAGGCGGGUUGCUGGGCUGACACUGACGCUGAGGCGCGAAAGCUAGGGGAGCGAACGGGAUUAGAUACCCCGGUAGUCCUAGCCUUAAACGAUGAAUGCUUGGUGUCUGGGGUUUUAUAGUCCCCGGGUGCCGUCGCUAACGCUUUAAGCAUUCCGCCUGGGGAGUACGGUCGCAAGACUG
Molecule: ribosomal RNA, 374 nt
Filed under: uncultured organism
Description: bacterial SSU rRNA
Rfam family: Bacterial small subunit ribosomal RNA
Source: RNAcentral